RNAcentral lists this transfer RNA (75 nucleotides) under Roseococcus suduntuyensis. RNAcentral's name for it is "tRNA-Thr". It matches the Rfam family "tRNA". Rfam says of the family: Transfer RNA (tRNA) molecules are approximately 80 nucleotides in length. Their secondary structure includes four short double-helical elements and three loops (D, anti-codon, and T loops). Lineage: Bacteria; Pseudomonadati; Pseudomonadota; Alphaproteobacteria; Acetobacterales; Roseomonadaceae. The record is from RNAcentral. RNAcentral also lists the same sequence under 6 other names.
GCCGACGUAGCACAGCGGUAGUGCAACCGAUUCGUAAUCGGUAGGUCGCGAGUUCGAUUCUCGCCGUCGGCACCA